RNAcentral lists this ribosomal RNA (229 nucleotides) under uncultured bacterium. RNAcentral describes it as "partial 16S ribosomal RNA". It matches the Rfam family "Bacterial small subunit ribosomal RNA", at positions 568 to 796 of the family's 1533-position model. The record is from RNAcentral.
CAUGUAGGCGGUCUGUCAAGUCUGAUGUGAAAGCCCGGGGCUCAACCCCGGAAGUGCAUUGGAAACUGGCAGACUUGAGUACGGGAGAGGAAAGUGGAAUUUCGAGUGUAGGGGUGAAAUCCGUAGAUAUCCGAAGGAACACCAGUGGCGAAGGCGGCUUUCUGGACCGAUACUGACGCUGAGAUGCGAAAGCGUGGGGAGCAAACAGGAUUAGAUACCCUGGUAGUCC